CUAUUUCAAUCUUUCUAGGGCUAAGUAUUAUAUCCUUUGCCUCACAAGGGUUCGAGUGAUUUAUCCUUAGGCAUGACCCUAAGAUAUAAUUCGUGAGUUUGUCGUAUUAUUAUUUUGUGCUGGUCAAUUUGAAGAAGCAUUCUUUAUGUAUUUAAUUGUAAUUGUGUCUACUUAGAGGAGCUGUCUUGAUUUAUUUGCAUAACAUGUACUUU
Molecule: long non-coding RNA, 212 nt
Filed under: Carica papaya (papaya)
Lineage: Eukaryota; Viridiplantae; Streptophyta; Magnoliopsida; Brassicales; Caricaceae
Description: long non-coding RNA (CPAP_LNC016317)
Source: RNAcentral